Molecule: long non-coding RNA, 31031 nt
Filed under: Citrus sinensis (sweet orange)
Lineage: Eukaryota; Viridiplantae; Streptophyta; Magnoliopsida; Sapindales; Rutaceae
Description: long non-coding RNA (CSIN_LNC001978)
Source: RNAcentral
AAGAUCCAUGAUUUCAUGAAAUAACAGCUCUCGCUGAGGCCUUUUGAUCAAUUAAUUCUACACACGCACACACACACACACAUAUAUAUAUAUAGGGGGCCUUUUGAUCAAUUAAUUCUACACACGCAUCGCUGAGGCCUUUUGAUCAAUUAAUUCUACACACGCACACACACACACACAUAUAUAUAUAUAGGGGGAUUGCUGUUGUCGAAUAAGAAGGCAACAAGCUCUGAUACGGUGACGACAAAUUCUGCAUGCACAAAGGUUUCUUGCUCACUUUGUCGGGAAAAUGGAAGCUAAAUUUCCUCCGAAGCGCACACAAAGAUUCAGAGGAAAUGCGGUGCCGCCAAGCCGGUGUCAGCGAAGUUUAUACAAGCAACAUUGGAAUGAGCUACUAAUUAAUUUGCACCGAAUUGAGAGCUUGGAGAGAUGAAACUGACGUUCAUUGAAAAAAUGAAACUGAUGAGGCCAUAUUUAUUACUUCAGCUGAAUUUCAAGGUUGCCUUUUUGUACAUGAAAUGAGACUAUGAGCGAGAGAAGCAGUCGAUUGUCGGAUAUUUCAUUAAGGCUAUACCGACCGACUAAUACAACUGUCCUACACUAAUAUUGCCAAUUAAUUACGCUUGAUAAUAUCUUCUAAUGCCUUCAUUUUUGGUACGCAAUAAGUGCAAACCAGCAAUGAUUUUUGCAAUUAAUGGAGAUUAUGAAAUAACACCAACUGGUUGUAUAAAAUUGUCUUGAUUUCUGGCCAUUAGAUUUUAUUUAUUAACGACUUUAGUAAACAGGAUACGUUUUAAUAAAAGAGUAAUUUUCCGUACGGCGAGCCACCGCGUUCAAGUAGCAACACGGAGGCGUUUUGCGAGAGCGAGGCAGCUAACGGGCAGCCGGCGGUGCCACCUCCGAUGACGAUGUAGUCGUAGUAGGACACUGGUUUUGCUGCAGUUGCGUUGCGCAUGAAACUGUAGUUCGGAGCUGCUGUGUACACAAAAAGUGACGUAUAUAAUAUGGGGAUCAUAUAUUACGUUUUCCAAACAUGCAUGUGACAAAGUCAUGUGUGCACAUAUAUUAUUAGGAUCAAAUUAACCGUAAAAUUGCCAAUUAAAUAAAUUUAUUACCUUUUUGACAGGCACAAAAGUCAUGAAAGAAGAGAAAUGUAGCAAGAGUAGCAACAAAUGACAAUCUCAAGCACCCAAGAUCCAUGAUUUCAUGAAAUAACAGCUCUCGCUGAGGCCUUUUGAUCAAUUAAUUCUACACACGCACACACACACACACAUAUAUAUAUAUAGGGGGAUUGCUGUUGUCGAAUAAGAAGGCAACAAGCUCUGAUACGGUGACGACAAAUUCUGCAUGCACAAAGGUUUCUUGCUCACUUUGUCGGGAAAAUGGAAGCUAAAUUUCCUCCGAAGCGCACACAAAGAUUCAGAGGAAAUGCGGUGCCGCCAAGCCGGUGUCAGCGAAGUUUAUACAAGCAACAUUGGAAUGAGCUACUAAUUAAUUUGCACCGAAUUGAGAGCUUGGAGAGAUGAAACUGACGUUCAUUGAAAAAAUGAAACUGAUGAGGCCAUAUUUAUUACUUCAGCUGAAUUUCAAGGUUGCCUUUUUGUACAUGAAAUGAGACUAUGAGCGAGAGAAGCAGUCGAUUGUCGGAUAUUUCAUUAAGGCUAUACCGACCGACUAAUACAACUGUCCUACACUAAUAUUGCCAAUUAAUUACGCUUGAUAAUAUCUUCUAAUGCCUUCAUUUUUGGUACGCAAUAAGUGCAAACCAGCAAUGAUUUUUGCAAUUAAUGGAGAUUAUGAAAUAACACCAACUGGUUGUAUAAAAUUGUCUUGAUUUCUGGCCAUUAGAUUUUAUUUAUUAACGACUUUAGUAAACAGGAUACGUUUUAAUAAAAGAGUAAUUAUAUAGCCACAAACUCUUGUACAAACUUAUUUUGUACAAAUUUAUGUGGCAUGAUAAGAUUGGUUGAAUUAAAUAUCACUUGACCCACAUGAUUUGUUUUCAUUAUUUUAUAUUUUCAUUCAACCAAUGAAUUAGUGCCACAUCAGUUUGUACAAAAUAAGUUUGUACAAUAAUUUGUGGCUGUAUCAUUACUCUUAAUAAAAACUCUCUCUUCAACACUAUGAAGUAAUCCGAGUGUUUUAAGCUUAAAUACAUAAAUUGUGCCACUACAAAAUUGAUUUAGAAAGUUUUAAUAAAUAUUUUUAGUGUAAAUAUUUGUAUGUAUGUGUCUGCGAUAAAAUAUUAAAAAAACACCUAUAAAUGAAGGCUUUGACAUUACAAAGUUAAUUAAGUUCUUAUAUAUAUAUAUAUAUAUAAUGAAUUAUGAUGGUAAAUAUCAGCAUAUUUUUAAUGAAAAUAAAAAAUAGGGGGAAAAUAAAAUUUAAAAAAAAAAUGAUAUGGGGAAGAAGGUAUUAAUGGAAUCCAACAAGUCGUGCACAAGUAGAUAAGUUUGUGUUAAUGCAUGGAGUGUGGGGACCGCAGUUUCAGUAUCAGUUAGAUGGAAUUUAAAUAAAUGAAAUUUCCGGAGAUUUCAAGAAAAUGCAUUGAUUACCAGCGACCAAUAUUUGUGGCUAACUAACAGUGUCAAAAGAGUAUCUCCUCCACAGGCCACAGCCUGUGGCUAACUAACAGUGUCAAAGGAUUAGUGAAUUAAUUUCACUAAUUCAUUUUUUUUUCCUUCAGAUAUAUACUACUAAUCCUUUCAAUAAUACACUUUUUUUUUUUGUCUUAUCCACGAGAUAUAUUGGGGAGGGCCCCAAUUGUGAGAAGCACCUUUAAGCCCGUACCACAACUCAUAUUAGAAGUCCCCGCUCAGUCCCCGCUCGAAUCGGGAGGCACAGACCACAACUCAUAUUAGAAGUCCCCGCUCGAAUCGGGAGGCACAGAUUCUCCCAACAAAUGCGACUUUCCUGCGACUCGAAUUGGGGAGCAAUCCCAGUCAAACCACUUAAGAAGACUCAAUUACCAGUGGAGCCAAUACUUUCUUGGUUCAAUAAUACACAUUUAGAACUAAAUAUUCUCGUACGAUAUCUUGAACAUGCACCGGGACCUGCCCCGUGUUAUUUUUGUGUGUCUAGAUCUAGGCAUGCAGCUGGUCUAACACAAAUAAAAGUUUCAUAUAACCAAAAAAAUGGGUCAAUAAAUGUGACAGCCUUUUUAGGCAUGAAGAGAAGCGUUUGAUUUGUGUCAUCGCAUCCUCAACCAGAAAUGGCUGCAGGAGGAGUGACAAUUAUUAUUGCUAUUUUAGGAUUACAUCCCUUAUUUCUAUCGUCUUUUGCGGCGAGUUAAUUAAAGUUCACUACUACUUUUUGCGUGCCCAUUCUGAAAUGACUCCUCUCUCGCACGGCAUAUAAUUAUUAUUGACUCGUUCACCUUUGCGGAUGAGAUGGGUCUUUAAAUGAGAUCUCUCCAUAAAAUACAUGCAGCCAUCCUCGUUUGUAGCCAGGGUAUUCAGUUUUUCUUUGCUCCUGUCGUUAUCGUAGUUAUGAUUGGUUGAUUUAAAAGUAGGAGGAGUGCGUGUUAAACUUUUACUCGAAGGGCGAGCCAAAAUUAAAAAAAUCCAAGGAGCCAAAAAUCAUAGAUACGUCAGUCAUAUGAUGUGGUAUCCGUACCGAGAUCUUGCGUAUGUGAAAAGUGAAAUACUUCGCCGAAGGAAGACACCUCCAUUUCUUAGAACUUUUUAAAAAUACGUACCUACACUACAUAAAUUUGGAUCAAUUGCAGAAAGCAAAUGAUUGAUCGGGACCUUUCUAUGGUACAGGUUCUGUAACAAACAUCUCCCGUCAUCCCACCAUCCGAUUUUCUAUUGUUUAGUUUCUCACUCCACAUCCAACGGCUGAUGAUGCAGUCUGUAGCUUACAGAUUCUGUAAGCUAGUCAAGUCCGAUUAAUCGGGGAAGUAGUUCCCAGUGAGACGUUUUACGUGCCAUCAUUUGCAUCAGACGCACUGCCAUCAGUCAUCAAGUAUUUAAUUCAUCUUCUUUUCUUUUCUUUUCUUUUUUUUUAAAUCUCGAAAUUACAUCAUUUUAAAUACUAAAUUUACCGCGUUAUCCUUAACUUCAAGUUUUUUUUCAUUUACACUUUACUCGGUCAUCAGUUCACUUUCACCAUAAUUUGUUUUUAAACAUAUUUCGGCCUUAUUUUUUCAGUUCAAAACAUCUACCGUUUGGAUUAUACUUUUUUUCUCUCCUCAGAUUUCCCUUUUCUCUGCGCCUUCUUUGCAUUUUACGAGCAAAUUCGAAAUUAAAUCUAACAAAAACUAAACUAAAUUAAUAAAUAGUAAAAACUGAAUGCAUCAAGUUUUUUUUUUUUUAAUUAUUUUAAGGAUAAAUUUUUUUUUUCACACUCUCAACAUUUGUCUAUAAAUUUUUUAAUGGAGCAAAUCUAAAUUUUUAACAUAAAUAUUUAUUAAUUCAAUUUAGUCGAAAGAAAUCUUAAAAAAAAAUUGUGCCGAAAGUGAAUUGAUGGUUGGGUAAAAAAAAAAAAGCUUGAAGAUAAGGGUAAUGUGGUAAUUCUCUUCUUUAAAGUGAUGUAAUUAUUAAAAUUAAAAAAUAAGGAGUGAAAUCUACACAACAAUCCAAUUAAGAAGAUACAUCUCCUUCAUUGUAAGAGCUGACUGUCGCUAGCACGCAUGUAAAAUUAUCAAGUAAAGAUUUUACCACGAAAAAGCACUCGUUGACCUAGAAGUAUCUUCAACCCUAUCCCUCUGCCUUUAUUGUGUCGCAGUAUUUACAUUUUAUCCAAGAUUUAGAAACACCACUGAAAGAAACUUUUUAAAUAAAAUUUUACUUAUUAUUUAAAAAGUCAUAUAAAUAAAAAAAUAUUUCAAAAGAUUUUAUAAAUAAAAUUCUUCAUACAAGAUUAUCUUUCUUAGUCUUUUGGAGUUAUCAUAAAUUUUUUUUUUUUAUCUUCUCAUUGAAGAGAGAGGUGUUAUAAUUGUUAUUGUUUUACUAAAAAAAAUUGAUAAAAACAAUAUGAACUUAUUUUUAUUUAAAAAAUCUUUUAAGAGAUAAUUAAUUUUUCACUCUUCUAUUUACUAUAUAGGUAAGCAAAUAAAUAUUUAUAGAAAAGUCUCAUGGUAAAGCACUUACCCUUUGGAAAAUUCUUUACUUAUAAAAGGCAUCUGCCACAGUGGCGGAGCUACAAAGCCUAGACAAAAUCGUUUAUACCCUUAAUUGUUCAUCAAUUUAGUAAAAGAAAAGAGUUUUAAUUUUAUUUUCAUAUAUGUCCCUAAUUUAAUUAUACUUAUAUUUUCAUCAAUUUAGUAUAACAAUAGGAUUUUUAUUUUAUAUUCAAAUAUGUCCCUAACCCAAUUACCCUUAUGUUUUCAUCAAUUUUAUAUAACAAUAGAGUUUUUAUUUAUUUACAAAUAUGUCCCUUAUUCAAUUAUAUUAUUUUGGAAAAUUAUCAGCCAUAUAUCCUUAAAUGACACUAGUAUCAAACGUGCUACAACACUUUUCACUUAUAUCACUCGUAUACCUUAAAUUGACAAAAGAGUUCUAGCGUCCACAUUUCCAUUUACUACCGUUAAGAACUUAACAGAAUUUGAGUAAAAUGACUAUUUUACCCUUUAAACUCAAAAUGAGGUAAAAAAAUAAAUUUACCUUGAAAAUUAUUGUAAAUUUUCAAUACACAAUUUUUUUAUUUUGUUAUUAACAAUACAUUUUUUAUUAAAAAAAUAUGAAUUAUUAAUGGUACAUAUUAUUAACAAUUAUCCAUAAAAAAUAUUCAUCUUAUACCAUAAAAAAUUAUUAACAUUAUAUUAUUUACAAUUAUACAUAUUAUACCAUAAAAAAUUCAAGUUUGAGCUUGGAGAAGUAAAUCUUCAAUAAUUUAGGUUAAAUUUUGGAGUAGAUUCAGGGAGGAGUAGAUCUUCAAAAAUUUAGGUUAAAUUUUGGAGGAGUAGAUUCGAUUGUAAAGUAGCUUUUUUUAGCAAUUAUUAACAAUUAUCCGAUAAAUGGGAUGACAUGUCAUUUUUAUCAAAAUAUAUCAUAUGACAUGUCGUUUUUUUAAAAAGAUUAGAUUACCCUUAUGAUAUCAACGCUCGCAAACGGCAGUUAACGAAUUGAUGGACGGCAGAAGUGUUUUGUCAACUUAGGGUAUACGAGUGAUAGACUUGAAAAGUCUUGUAGCAUGUUUGAUACUGGUGUCAUUUAAGGGUAUAUGACUGAUAAUUUUCCUAUUAUUUUCAAUUGAAAUUAGUGACUUAUUUUAUAAAAUGAUUAAAUCAUAUAUUUAUUUAAUUGAUUGAAAACAUUAAGGAGCUAAAAUUUUAUUACUGCUUUAAUUUAUUUUAAAAAACUUUUAAUUGAAAAAAAAUGUCAAUGUAAUAUAACAUCGUCACUAGUAGUAAAAGUACUUACAGAAACAACAUAUAGUAACAAUUAUCAAUAUUUUUAUAAAUUUUUUAUGUGAAUUUUGAGAUUUUAUUUAUUAGUUAUAUUAACUAAAAGGACAAGUUAGAAAAUAAAAUUUGAGUAUUUUAAGAAACUUUUGAUAGAAGAAUUAUUAACAUCUAGUUCUUUAAAGAGAGAUAGAGCGCCUGAUAAAGAAACAACUGCACCAAAAUACAUUUUUGCUAAAUUGAGUUUAGUUUAUUAUUGAAACUUUUGACUAAUAAUACCUUUACAAUUUGAAAUGAUGAAUAAAUUUUAAUUGUUUAAUUUAUUAAGUUUGGUAAUUUAGGGUGUAUUUGGGAUUUAGGUGCUGUAGUUUAAAAGCUACGGUUUCUGUGGAAAAAAAAUUGUAACUAUAAAAAAAAUGUUAAUAAUAUAUAAUAAAUAUAAAUUUUAAAUAAUAAUUUUGACAAAAUUAUUAAAGAUAUAAUAGAUUUUUCAUCAUAUAAGUGAAAAAUCAUAUUAAUAUAGCUUACAAGUUACAGCAGCUAGUGUUUACCAAACACUUUAGUGUUGUACAUUUUAAGCUACAGCUGUCCAACCUCAAUCCCAAAUACACCCUUAGGCCAUCUCCAAUAUGACACCAAAACUGACAUCAAAAUAUUUUUUAUAUUAUUUUUGGUGUAAAAUGCUUCUCCAAUAUAACACCAAAACCAACAUCAAAAUGGUGUUAUGAAUAGUAUUGCACCAAAUAUGGUGCAACACUAUUCAUUUAGUGCUAGGAAAAAAAAGUUUCAAAAUAUCCUUAUUACUUUUUCAUAUUUACAUAUAUGUCCUAUUUUAUAUUCUGCUGUACGGCCAAGGCGGAUGUACGGUACAGCCUAUUUUAUAUAAUAUUUUAAGUUAUUAUUAUUAAUUUUGUUAUUUUUUAAUUUCAUUUUUUUAAUUUUUGAAUAUUAUACUAAUAUUUUAAAUAAAAAAAAUUCAACACAAAAAUUAAUAAUAAAAAUAAAAUGCCAAUAACAUUAAUUACUAGAUUACAUAUUACAAAAUUAAAAAUACAAAAUUAAAUUAACACAAAUUAAAAAGCUACUACUACUAGCAUAAAUUAAAACAAUUAUUUAAUAAUAUGGGAGAUCAUUAUUAGAUCCUCCAAUAUCAUCAAAAUAUUGGCCAAUAUUAUUGGAAGUAUUUUGAGAUGCUUGGCCUUGCUGAGAUCUUCUUUGCAAAAUCUUAAUUUGUUCAUUUUGAAAAUAAUGACGUAAGCUCGGAUCACUUAUCGAAUUUAAAUAUUUCAGUAAAAUUUUGUUUUCUUCACGAUAUGUGACCAUAUCCAAUUUGUUUUUCUCAUUUUUGGCUCCUAUCAUUUAAAUUUGAUAAUUUUGUUGCGUAUCUUCAUUGCCUUUUUUGAAAAUUUCAUAAAGUCGUCGAUUGUCUUCUUUAAUAGUAUUAAUAACUAGUGAAUUUUAAUAAUUUUCUAUAUUAAUGUAAUGUUUAAUUUUCAUAAUGUACUAAUUUAGUUAAUUAAAUACAAAUUUAAUAAUUUUCUAUAUUUUUUUUGUUAAUCGAUAUAAAAUUAUUAUUACUUAAUUAUCUAUAUUAAUAGUAAUAUUUAUUGUCUGAAUUGAAUUAAUUCUUGAGAAUUAAAAGAAUAAAAAGAAGAAUAUUCUUUUGGGUGUAAAUUGGUUGAAGAUGGAAUAAUAAUUUGGUGUGAAAAAUGUAUAUUUUUUGUGUUGGUGUUAUACCAAAAUGGUGUUAAGCAUUGGAUAUGCCCUUAGUACUUCACUUCAAACAUAAAAUUUUUACUUGUAAUUUUUAAUUGAUUGUAAUUACAUGUAUUGAUAUAUUUUAAUUUGAAAUUCUUAGUUGAUUUUUUAAUCCUUAUAUAAUUAUAUAUUAUUAUAGGCUGCAAUGUCAGAUUCUAUAAUUGAAAAAUAAUAUUUUCAUAUUCGAGUUGCUUUUUUUUUUCUCUUUUUUUAUAAUUACUUUUAUUUAUAGUCCAUAUUUAGAGAGUGUUUUCAAUAGAUUUUGGGGUAGGAAAAGCCAAACCUAUCUAGAACAAUGAAUUUAUAUUUUUUGGAGGAGACGGGGUACCUCACUGGUUUGUUAUGUGCGAUGCAGUGUAUCUGAAAUUCGGGGGAGGUGAGAAGGGGAGAGGGAGUGGUAAUAAUGGUGAAAGGUCAAAACCAAGAGAGAUGUCCUUCAAAAUGAGCUUCACGCCUGCAAAACAGUGAAAUGGAGGUUAGAGGUGAAGCCGGGGUACCCCAGCGUUCAUACUCCGACGCUCAAGUUAGCAAACUCAAGCUUUUAUGGCAAAGAGAGCUGGCUAGCCCUCUGUAAAUUAGGGUUUAAGGUUGAAGAAAACCUAUUUUUGGAGUGUGAGUGUUAAUGGUGAGUGAGAACAUCAUGGAGAAUGAAAUCUACGUACCUUUAUAUAUGGAGUACCUCAACUGCCACGUGGCGUACCCUUUUUGGCUAACGUCUUUUUACUUUUUUUAUGAUUUUUGGGCCGUUAUGUGCAUGUUCGCAGCGUAUCUCAUCCUUUGGAGACGUGGCAUGCGCUGGAGAGUGGUCUAGGGUACCUCUGCAGUAGCUGUCGGGUAAGCGGCUGAGGACCACUGUCCCAAGGACAUUGUCCUCCACUUUUGGCAGAGGUGGCAGGCGGCUGUCCCCCCCUUUUAGCACAACGUUUUUUAUUCUUAAUUAUGACAAAAUCGAAUAAUAUCUUUUAAAAGGUAGAGACGUUUCUCAUGGCGGACUUUUUCAAAGGGUUCACUUGCAUCUGAUUUGCCGAGUACCUCCAGUUACAUGGGGUAACUCAAUCUAUGUGGGGUACCUCUAAUUGUGCGGGGUAUCUCGUAUCACGUCGGGUACCUCUAUUUGUGUGGGAUACCUUGAAUCAUGCCGGGUACCUCAGAUUGUACAUGGUACCUCAAUCUGUGUGAGGUACCUCUAAUUAUACGGGAUACCUUGAAUCAUGUCGGGUACCUUGGAUUGUGCAGGAUACCUCGGAUUGUGCGGGGUACCUCAAUCUAUGUGGGAUACCUCUAAUUAUGCGGGGUACCUUAGAUUGUGCUGGAGUUAUUACGUUCGUCGACACGUGACGCUUUACUACCUCUCCUAUUUUUCUCCCAAACUGAGAGAUAAAAUUUUUAGUAUUCCUACUUAUUUAAUGUACUUAUUUUUCUAUAUAAAUUUUAUGUUCGCUUUAAAAUAUAAAUUUUAAAAUUUAAUCCAAUGUGAUAUUAAAGUUCUGGAUCAGCCAUCGACAAUUUCUUAAUAACAGAAGUGAAUACUUAGGAUUCAACUAUUAAGAGAGAGUGAAAAUUGACUUCACGGGAACACAGGUGAAUAGCAUGAGAAGCAUUCGGGAUUUGGGAAUACGCAAAUUUUGGGCCCUUAAUAGCGUAACCCUGAAAAUUUAUGAAACGAAUUGAAAAAAAAUCAAUAACCUUAUUUUUCAUCUACUGUACAAGUACAAUAAUACAACAGAAGAAUAUUAGCGAGGAUAAUUUAAAUAUGGGCGGGGAGAAGGAGGAGGAGGAGGAAUUAAGACUAAUAUAGCAUCUUGAUAGAUCAAUAAAGAGAGUUGUAGGUAACGAAAGUAGCGAUAAUGGAAGCUACACAGACGAAGAGUGAAGGGAGUAGAGUGACAUUCAAGAGAUUGCUCUGGCCCAAGAACCCAGCCAGGGUAAUUGUGCCAUCCGCAAUGACCCGAGCAAUUGUCCCAGCUUCUGUAGAAAGUAACCCGCCAUUGUACGUUCCACGAGAAAGCCUGGAAGACAUCACCCGAGAUAAUAGUGACAAGUUGACGCCUGCACCAAAAUACGUUACAAAAUAAUGAGACAUACUACAUUAGAAUCUAAUAUUUCAUAGGUAUUUUCUCAAUUGUCACUCAAUAUAUAAUCACCUUCAAGUACUUCAGCAAAAACAAACAAGACGAGUCCUGAGCAGACAUAUUGUGGAACGGAGUAGGGGAUGAACACAUGGAAGCUAAAGAGUAUGCCUAUACAGACCAUGAUUUCAGAAGCCAAUAAAAUUUGCCUGCAGCCAGAUCAAAGAGUGAAGACAUCAGUUGGUUACAAAAAGAAUUCCAGAGUUCACAUCAGAAAAGACAGAGAAUGACAAUGUGAUUCUGUUGGAGACUUACCUAUCUUCGAACAUGUUGCUAAUAUAGCUGCCAACAAUGAUGUUUACUGGAAGAACGGUAAGGCCAAGACACGCAAGAAAAAUUGCGACCGCGCCCGUGGACCAUCCAAAAUAGUAUGUAGUAACAACGCUAGAUUCAGAGAGUAAAAUCUCCAUCACGUACUUGAGCAUAAAAUAUAUCAACAAUUGAACCUGGUAAAAACAUCAGAAUUUAGGUGAGAGGUAAUUUGAAAAUAUAAGCGUUUCAGCUUGAAUCUGAAGGUAAAUCAUUUGCGAUGAGAAAAGCAAGCACAGAAUUGAUGUAUUGAACUGAAUUAAGCACAUGAUAGUAACUACAUAGAGCUUUGAUUGAUUAAUAACCACUAGUUCAAUGGUAAGUUCCACUUCGCCGUAAAAAUCUGAAUGAUCUCACAUUCUGAUCAAAGCAAGCAGUAUUUGGAUCAUCUCAAUCUACUUUCCCAAGCCAUUACAGAGAUGCUAAACAUAUCACUAUUAGUUGCACAAAAUCCUGAUUUACAUACAUGCCUAGAGAUGUUCUGAUAUAUGGUGCAACAGGUGCAUUCCAGGGAAAAUUAGUUAUCUUUUAGCUACAUAAGUUCUGGAUAGUCACAGUUCACCUGCUAUUCUGCAACUGCACACCAAGGAGAUCAAAGGUUCUGUAUGGUAAUAGUUUACCUAAUAACAUCUUGUUUUGUAAAUUUAAAAACACAAAAAAACAAAAGAAAUAGAAGAAAUAGAAGAAAAUGAAGAAGAGGAGACAUCCAGAUUCUGUUAAUUAUAUUUGAGGUCUUGUAUUAAUUAAAUAUCAACAUAGACCCACAUUUACAUAAAGUCAAAAGUACAAGGACUUGAAUGUGCGAGCCAUAAACGGACAUGGUGUGUUUACCUAUCAAAGUUAGAUACAUCAGAUCGAGAACUGAUGAUGCAAGGAUCCUAUUGUGACAUUGUAAGUGUUCACUGUUGCAUAUCAACUCAUAGUAACAAGCUAAUUUAAAAAUCUACGAUGCCAUUGCAAUGAAGAUCAUAAUGUUUGGGCAACCAAGUCAAUAAAAAAACAGUACAUAAAAUGGCAGGCAUGCUAAGCAAAGAUGUCUGGUUUACACCUAACGAGAAGUAAAAGUCAUGUUAAGCAAAUAUGUCCAGUUGACACAAGCUAACGAGAAGUAAAAAUCUUGUACCCACGUAGAUGUACGUACUUUCCAGGUCAACAAGACAAUCCAUGAAAAUCACUGACAGAAAUAUCUAUGUUUUUGAAAUGAAGAAAACGUUAGGAGUCAAUUUCUUACCUUUACAGAGGGCGUAAGUAGUCUGUAUGCUGAUCUAAUUGAAUUGGCUGGUGGAUGAGAUUCCUCAGAAGCUUCAUCACUUCCGUCAUAUUCUUGGUCACCAUCUUCAUCUUCUGGUUUUUCUUCUGAAGUUAUGAGCAAUGGUUGCUGAAGACCUUUUUCCAGGGCACUAUUAUCUACUGGUUCUGUCAUUUGUAUGGCCCAACACCAAAAUCAAACAUUUAUUCUUUUACAUAAAUGGAAUGGUUUCAAAUUAUAACAUAUAAAAAUUCCAUGCAUAAAAUUGAGAGAAAGGGUGUUUGGAUACAACUACUCAAGCAGUCAAAUAUGUACUCAGCAAAGCUCAACUUAAUGUCUGAAGUGUAACCAUUUUCCUCCAAUGUAAGAACUACUUUCAUGCAACCGUUAUUCUACCCUAUACAGAACAACUUCCAAGAUCUACCUCCAAUAGCAGGUUAUCCUACUGGUAUUGACUCUUUGGCCUUUAAUGUUCAUAACUGGUCCCAUUUAGCUGAGCUAGUAGCUGGAGAUGAAGACAAUCCUUGAAAUUUGAUGAGUAACAUCAGCACCCAGUCUCCACCGCAGUUUUAUAAGACACGUUGUUCACAUUCUUAAGACCAGAUGAGAUAUUGUACAAAGUGUCUAUAAGCCAAUACAGGGCCGGUUACAUACCACAUAAGGCAAAUACAUUUCUUGAAUUGAAUAGCCAAUGAAGCAUGUACACUUAAUAGAGCAAGAAAUAAAGACCUAGUAUAUUCUAGUUGCCAAGCUGAAUGUAUGCAGCUCAUGCAUAAAUUUUUUUGAAAUAGAAUAUAAAUGUUUUCAAAUUUCUACACUCAUUCAUCAGUAUUACCUCAAUAUUUUGCUUUAUAUGUUUGACUUGGGGGUAAAAAACUAUUCAUAACUUUGAAAUUUUGUAGCUCCAAUUAAAGUUUACCUAUCAAACUUAAGUUUAUAAGACUUGAAAAGUCAAAACUUAAAACAAUUAGAAUUAUUUUACAGGCUUUUGGUUUUUGAUAUUAUGAAGCAACUAAAAGAUAAAAAGAGAGAUAGUUAUACAGUUUAGUGUCAUAUGAAUGGAUCAGUGAUUUGUUCAAACCCAGGAAGGAGUGGUGAGCAUGAUUGCAGGUGUCAAAAAUAUUAAGCCAUAAAAGACAGUGUGAUAGGAUUUAACAUACCAGCAUUCGAUUCUUCCUGUGUAUGAUUCUCUUCAAUAUCCCUAGAAGGUUCUUUAAAUGAGAUACACAACCAUACCAAAUAAAAAAGCCAGGCAACAGCCAUAAUCCAACCAGGUAACGUGUUUUGAUUAAACGUCAACUUGUAGAUUUUAAAAUUUGUUUGAAGCAAGCCAGCAAGAGCAGGACCACAAGCCAUUCCUAGAGCACUGGCACUAACAAAACCUGCCGAUGCCUGCAUGCGGAUUUUUAGUGGUACACAAUCACUGAUAUAACGCCGGUUAACAGCUCUAGCUGAACCGAAUCUGCAACAAAAAAUUUAUAUCUCUGUCAACUUGUGAUGAGAAAAACAAAAGGAUUAUGUAUUUCAUAUGGAUUCCACAAGAAGAGAAACUUUUGGGUGAUACAUUUUAUUAAAAUAGAAAUGAGCUCUGAAUCAAUUUUAAAUCUCCAAUAGUGGCACAUCAACUCUGGUAGAUAAGAAAGUAAGCAAAUACAGAUUGAUCUGAGUAAAAUACACUAGAAAUGGUAUUGGAAGUUACUUGGAAUUUUCUGGGUAAAAUCCAUCAAGGAAUUACCCAAAUAGAAGAAAACAAAGAAGAAUACUUACCCACAGAAAAGACGGCCAAUUAAGAGAACUGCUAUGGAACUGAAAUCAUAUGCCAAUGCAUACAUGACAUUUCCGAUGAAAAGAACAAUGCUGCUGAAUACAAGAGGUUUGAAAUAUGAUCUGUUUGACCAAGCGCUAAAAUACACAGAAGAAAAGACCUGUGCUAUAGCCAUUGCCCCAAUAACAAUACCGCAGACUGUUGCAGCAGCUCCAAGGCUCAUGGAGUAGUCAUCUGCGGUAGGGACAAUAAUAUAUGUAUUCACCAUAUAAAGAAACGUGUUUGCUAAGUUCAAUAGAAGUGACAUAAAAUGGUAUUUCUGAUCAUCAAUAUGUUCCUCAACAGGACUGGGCAACUCUUCUUGCAUAAUCAGUGCAUGUUGUGCCAUAAAGUUGAGGAAGUUUGUAGAGUUGGAUAACCUGUCUACAGCUGCUUUUAUUGAAUCGACCACAGGAUCCUGCAUGGUAAAUUCACAAACUUUGGUACAUGAACAGAGUCAGGAAGAAACAGGAUCAUACAAAUUGGAUUAGAAAGAGAAACCUGGAGGGGAAGAGCAGGCUCAUCAUAUAUGGAUAAGUAGCUUCCUUGAUGAUCUUGAAGUUCGUGAAGAUUUCGAGAUAUAGCUCCCACAACAGCACCUAACCCCUGCAGAUCACAGAAUUGGAAGGUAAAACUUCACAAUGAACAAUAACUUUAUGGAGAAUAUGUAGACAUUAUUUUACACUAUAUUGCUAUAGCAUACCCUAAAACUCAUGACUUUACAGUUUCACUUAUAAUUUUCAAGAGUACAAUAAAAGUAUGCAGAAGCCUAAGUGUAUAAAUGACUAAAUUUAAAAAUUAAAAAAAGGGGGGGCUCUUGGAUUUUUGACACAUUACCACAUGCUUGAACACUUGCUGCAACUGGGAGUAAGGAUGAUUAGCACGAGUUUUGACAUAGUAAUCAGUGAAUCUAUAACCAAAACGUUUAUCAAAUUUCUUCAGAAUCUUACGCAGACCAAUUGCGUUUAUCUCAACAAAAAAGAGAAGCUUUAAAAGAUCCAUUCCUGCUGCUCUAUAGGCUUCUCGUAGUUCUGUCAUCUGGGAUAUAUCUGGCUGCUGUAGAAGAGCAUCAUGCUGUUCCCUAAGCCUGGCUAACCUGCUUGCAAGAAGACCUUGUUGUUCCAACAGGAAAAGAACAAUCUUCUCAAUCUGAAAAUAUAAAAACGAAGGGGUUCGUAUUAAGUUUUCCUUUUGUGGCGAAAGCACAAAAUAAUAAACUACAAAGGAAGCUCAUAAGAGUAUAACAUGUUUGUUGCUAAUGAAAGGGAUGAACCUACUCCUUACCAAUCAACCAAAAGUUUAGAUGUUUAUGAUUAUAUAACCAUUCGGCGAUUCGCAAGAGAUUUCUCAAAGAUGUAUUUAAAGUCAAUUUUGGCCAACCAUCCACCUUCUCUCUCAUGUCAUUCCCAAUUUAUAAUAUUCUUCUGUUAGCAAAUCCUACUGUCACUUUGCUAUGAGACACAGUUCUGUUAAGUAACAUCUGUGGAUUUUUUAAACAUAAGUUGGAGGGAAGGGUAGGCUAAAGGAAGGUAGAAGAAGGUGAGCAUCAAAAUCAAGAACCAGCUCCAAAGAAACCAUGGACAACCAAAGAACUUAUAAAGUGUGGUUGACAGCAUGACCUCUAAGGACACUUCAAUCUGCACCUAGUUAGACUCAAUGCAUGCAUAAUGUUCAACAUUGCUCGUCUAAAUUUAUUACAUAAUUUAUGAAAUAGCAUACAGAGGACUUCUAAUAUGCAUCUUCCAACAUACCUGAUUAUCCAGCAUUCUUGAGAAAUCCUUGAGAACAUGACGGCGAUCUUGAGCUCCGACUUCAAUUUGUUGAGCAUAUUGUUUUACUUUCUUCUUCAUUAAUUUGUAGUUAAUAUAAUAACUGAAAAAAAAACCAUUAUACGCAUGGUAAUAUGGCAACUGUGAUAGUAAAUAAAUAAAUAAAAAUUGUUGCACAUGAUAAAAUUUAUAGAUAUGCUGAAUGACUUUGCAAGGAGGAGUGAAAUAAACCCUCUUAAAAGACACUGAAUAGAAACUAUAGAUUUGUCAUGCUCUAUGCAUAUUAGCUAAACAUAUUAACUAAUACAUAUUAGCUGUCAUUGCAUACUUUUCGAUCAAAAGGCAGUUAAGAGUAUUAUGAAAGCAAAUGCUCGUCACCGAACAAUCCCUUGAACGGUUCAUUUCAGUGAAGAUAUCCUUGACGCCUACCAUAGUGCAGUCAAUACUAAGUAUUGCAGCAUAGAAGGCAGAACAGAACUUCAACCUUACCUUUGCCAUUCUUGAAUCUGUCUUUCCUUCAACUUUUUCCCAAAGGCAACCAUUUUUUCACUACAAAUAAGUGAUACAAAUUUAGGUCAGAGAAGAAACAAAGGCAGAAAAAAAAAAGUAUAAUAAAUAUUUUUGUGGUGUAAAAAAACAAGGACGGAGAAUUAUACUUUUCAUUCACUACCUUAAAAAUUGACUGAAUACCAACAAUAAUUAUGCAUACUAAACACUAGCACUCUGCAGAAUUAAGGGUGAGGAUAACAGCCAUAACUGCAAAGAAUUCAUAUAUUGGUCUUUCAUUUGGCUAAUAUCCUUUUCAUCUUACAUAGAUCUAUGAAAAAGCUAAAAAAAAUUAUGGUUGUCACAAUAAGUUGAGCAAAAUUGCCACGGGUCUUCUUCUGGUAAACCUCAUCUGAAACCAAUUAAUCACCUUAGAGUAGAUUAAAACAAAAAAAUCUUUUCAACGACUAGUUCAUGUUCCUCCAGUCCACAACAAUAAAACAGACACAUGCAAUCAACCUGUGCAGUGUUUCAAGUCACCCAACUACAGUAUCCUCCAGUUUUCUGGGCCAUUUCAGAACAAAGCAAACCAACCUUUAUACUAUAAUUAAGCUCUGAAUUGCCAUAGCUAACAUCAGCUAAAAUACUUUGUCAAAUUAAAAUUUAAAAUUUUUUACCAUACCUUAAAUAUUACAAUUCUCCGUACGAAAAGUCAACUUAUGCAUUCCAUAAAAUUCGUGCAAAGCAAUAGAACAUAUACAUAAUUUGAAGCACGUAUCAAUAGCUACUAUUUGAAUUUCUUAUAGCACUUAUAUUUUACCUAAUACCAGUAAUAUUUAAUAAUUCUACAAAGACACCGCGGAGUUGACCAAGUCAACUAAAUCAUUGAGGUAGCCAAUACUAUAAACUUAGAUUCAAAACUAAAAAUUAAACAAAAACUAACAAAUAAAAUCAAAAAUAAAAUUUAGUUACAAGUAGAAAAAAUCAUAAACAAUAAAACAGUAGUAGCAAAUUAAUCAGCUGCUCAGACUUCCAUUAACAUAACGUAUGUAAGGCAAAAGAAAAUAUUCGAAACUGCAGAAUUUUUUUUUUAAAAAAAAUUGAAAACAGAAUUAUUAGAUACAAAUGUUUCGCGCGAACCAAACAGAAAAUGAAUCCAAAAAGAAACGCAUUACCUGCUAUGAAUCAAAGUUUAGAUGACCAUCAACGAACACCUGAACAAACACAAAGCGGCGCAAAAGAAAAAACACGGCGAAAUUUCAAAAACGGUAAAAACAAGCACGGAAUGGUUUACAAAACGGAAAAAUCGUCUUCAGAGUUCCAUAGUUUUUCGGAAUCACAUAAGACAGAGAUUCGAAGAGAUUGACAGAUACCUUAAACAAAUCCAAUACGGAGCUGGACUUAUUAUCUCAAGAGCAAGGAUCUUGCAAUAAAUUUCGCAAUAACAAAAAGGAAUAAACAAAUGAAAAGAAAUUAGAGAAUGAAUGAAGAGUGUUUUAUUAUGCUUCGGCUUUGAUUGGUUAUUGCGAAUGAAUCUUUCCAAUUCAAUAAUUAGAGGAGGAAAAAUAAUAAUAAUAAUAAUGAGAGAAAAAGGAGAAUUCAGUUUGUUGGCUGUCACGAACUCGCUUUUGUAGUAAGCGUUUUCUUGUUACAGUGCAUUUUUUGGGGAAAAUAUAAUAAAGUUUGGGGGGUCCUUCUGUUACUAUUAUGAUCCUCGUGACUCGGCGGCAAGUGGGGUCAUCUUGUAAAUUUUCAACACCAUAACAAAUUGAUUUUGAGUUGGUUUGUUAACUUUGAAGUAUAAAAUCUAAUUGCAAGUUGCAACCAAAUGUCCAAAUACCAAUUGAAUUCUCUUCUAUUGAUUGACUAAUUACGACGUAAUUAACUGUACAAUUUUUUUAAUUUCUUUUAUUUAAUGGCACGCAUAUAUUUGAGGAAUUAUCAUAAUUAUCCACCUAAGAUUAUGUUAAUAGUUCGACUUGCCAUUUGUUGUUAUAUAAUACAUAAGAUUAAUUAAGCCAAGUUUAAAUUUUUUAACUUUUUUUCUCAUCUUGCCAGUUGGCCGUGACUGUAUUCAAAAUCCUUAAGAGUGAGGCCAUAAUUAUAUUUUCAUUAUCUUUCUUUUUUUUGUGGCCGUACAUUAAUUAUACAAUGAUUUCACAUGGCAAUAAACAAGGGAGGGCCGAAGUAUGGGUUCAUGCAGCUUUUUCAUUUUUAUUUUUUCUAUUCUCUUUUUGUAGGGACGGUGGAGAUUAUGAUUGAUGCAAUUACCUUGAAUAAAAAUAUUUAAUAUUUUUUAAUAAAAAUAAAGAUAAAUCACGGUUAGUAUAUAUAAUUCUUCAUUGUUAUAUAAACGCACGUGUCAUGUUUGUAUUAUUUUUCUUUUCUUUUCAAAGUUCAACGCAAAAUGACAAGACGUACCUAGCAGGCUAGAACAUUAGGGACAUAAAAUUUUGAAAAUUCCCUCAAAUUUAUUAAAAUAACAAAAUCUUCCCUGAAGAUUCCAAAAUAACACUUCUAUGACUGAUGGUUGGUGCUUACCCUUUCCACACAAAAGUAAAACGCUCAUCAUCACCUUUUCCUUUUGACGUGUGAUUUCAAGAUUCAAAUUAUAAUUGCUUUUAAAAACUGGCAAAUGCAAUGAUGAUUAAAAAAUACACUUGUAAAAGUCAAAUUAUAAUUGCCUUUAAAAACUCUCAAAUGCAAUGUUGAUUAAAAAAUACACUUGUAAAAGUGGGCAUGCACACAUGAAAGUCACUGAGAAUUGAAUACCGUUGAUCCCAACAGAAUCAAUAUUUAGGAAGAUUUUUAAGUGUAAAGUUACUAGUAUUGAACAAAAGAAACUGACGAUGCGGAAAUAUGAAAAGUUGAUAAACUAUAAACAAUCGAAGUUUACGAAUAAUUGAAUAUUGAGAUUUUAUUUUUUUUAAUACUAAUCUUAAAUAUUGUAAAUUUAUUAAAAUAAGUAAAUUUAAAAUAUUAUUUUUUUAAUAAAAUUCUCCUAGUCUAAAAAUGAAAAAAAAAAAUAAAUCUGAUAUAAAAAAAAAGAUAAAAAUCUUGAAAGUAAUAGAAAAAAUAAAAAAAAUCACUUAAAACUACAAAAUAAUCAAGCAAGAAAUGGAAUUUCUAACUCGAUCAUGAGGCAGAACGAUAAUAGUAGUUUUGGAUUUGGUUCGUCUUAUAAUAAGUUUUAUACACAAAAAACGAACAUAUGUAUCAUAUAAGUUAUGAAUUCAAAAAAGUACUCUACUAUCCUACAUUAGCGUCCUACUUCAAAAUCCUAUUUCCUUUUUUCAAUUAUUUGUAAUUAAUUAUUGUGUUUUAUAAUAGUCAUGCAAUUUACGUAAUGAAGAAUCAACUUGUGGUGGUAAACUCAUCAUUGAAUUUGAAUCGAGUGUUAAAUAACUUUUUGUAAUUUUUUAUCAUGCGGGUACUUAUAGUGAUAUAUAGUUAAGAAUUAAUUACAUGUUAUUUAUUAUCCAAUAACUACUAAUUAUAAUAUUUCAAAAAAGCUCGCCUACAUAGCUCAUUGAAGUAUUUAAUUCAAAGCUCUCCUUGUCAUUUAAUCCACGUGUAUUCAUUAUCAAGUACUUCUACAAAAAUUUGGAUAACAUAUUGUUUAAAGUUAAAACGUAGCACUUAAGAUCUUUAUCCUUUAAAAUAUAUUAAGCCAUAAUUUAAGUUUGGGGAACCCACCCUAUAUUAAAAUCAAUCUUGAAAUUCACUUAUUAUUAUUAUUAUAUAUAUUAGGUCAAUAGACGAUUUACUUUAAGAAAUUUACAAAAUAAUUUAAUUAGGUAUUGAGAUAACUUAUCAUAUAGGAUAUUGCUAAGUUAAAUCAUAUAAAACAUAUAUCAAAUCCAAAACUAGUUACCCAUGAUCUCCUACUUAUUUCACAUAGUACCAUUUUUGGGUGAGACUAUUUGAAUCCACCAAAUUUCUCUCUAUACUAAUUUUAAAAAAUAAAUUCAUUAUUAAAAAUUUAAAAUUUUAAAAUCUCAAAAAUACCUUUCACUAAUCACUUUCUCUCUCUAUCUUAUAAUUGCCUAUUCUUUUCUACUCUCACAUUUGGCAAACUAAACACUCAUCUUCACUUCCUUUUAAAUUUAUUUUUUUAGCCUUUCUUAAUAUAUCAAGAUCUAUAUUUCAUACUUUCAGUAUAUAAGUUUUUUUUCUUGAUAUUUAGUAGCUUUCAUGUUUGAUAAAAGUCAAUUUCUUAGAUGUUCAUCAACUUUUAUGACUCAUGAAAAUUUGUUAAUGUUCAUUUUCAAAUGAGGGGUUUUGUUUCUCUUAAUUACUGAUAACAAUUAUUUAUAGGUAAAAGAAUAUAUCUUAAUGAAUUGAAGAGAAUUUAUGAAAUUGAGAAGAGAAAGAGAAGAAAAAAUAAUUUUUUUAAAAAUUAUUUAGAUAAUAAAAUUUUUAAUAAAAAAGAGGAUGUAGAGAGAGAAUUGAUGGGUUUAAAUAGUUGAGUAAUAUUAUAUAUAACUAAAUAUAGCUGCCUGUUAUAUAAUGUGAUCGAAUAUGACGUAUGUAUUAUGAUGAUGAUGCAUCUUUGCACGAUAUUCAUUCAUCCUCCUCCUGAUAGCGAAAUCUAAUUGUGUUCCGUGUAUCCAACUAAUGGUUAAAUGGAACAAGAAGAUGGAUGGCCUCAUGGUAACAACAGCCGACAUACAUAACGACAGCUAAAUAUGUGUUUGUGUGCAAUUUGUCAACUAAAAAUGACAAUAAUGAUAAUAAUUAACAAUAAAGAAUAAAAGUGGAAGUAUAACAGCCGGCGAUAGCGGAGGAUAGAGAAAUGGGAAGAAAGAAGAGGCCAGCGCAACUGGAGCGUGAAACAGGAUUGAUUCUGUGCCUCUGGAUAAAGACAAAGGCUUGGGGUUAACGUUUGAUUUGUACCGAACGCUGCCACUGUACACGGACAACACUAUAACAAGUGUCACGCACCCAUAACAUUAUUAACUUAGACGCACUGUGCAGCCGUGGAUCGGAUCCUUAUCCAAACUUAACCCAUUUCUCUUUUGUUAUGCAUGUUUUCCUAUCCAUUCAAAGUUGUACAAGAUUGCAUUUACAAUUUUCUUUUUUAAUUAUAAUCAAUUAAGUGAUGAUUAUAAAUACAUCAAACAAAAAUACGAAAUUACUUUUCUUACUUGGGAUUCUAUUAAAAUUAAAAUUAAAAUUACGUUUAUUAUAAUCAAUCAAUAAUUUAUUUCUUACACUCUCAAAACACUUUGGAACAAAUAAUUUCUUUAACAUAAGCAGAUUUUAAAGAAUGAAAGUAUGUAACAACUAAUUCAUUGAUUUUACAGCUAGUUCUUUCAUGCAAUGCACGAAUAUAUGAUGACAUGUGACGCAGUGAUAAGGACUCAUGUGAAAGAAAUUACAAUUGUUUUUUUCUGUGCUUGUGGUUUUGUCAAAAAAACAGAUUGCGUUUACUAAUCGGUAAUUGAAAUAAUUUAGAAUUAGAAAUGAACUGAAAUCGGAAUGAGAAAUGAGAAUCAGAAUAAAUAGUUUGCUUCAGUUGUAGGAAUCAGAAUCGAAAUGAACUAUAUUGUCAUUGAUGUGUUUACUUUGUUUGGGAAUCAGAAUGUAUUACUGCAAGCUAUUAGAAUAACCUUAGCUGAUUAUCAUUAUUAUUUAAUAUAAUAAAUGUGGUUAUUAUUAUUCAAAAUAAUUAUUUUUAAUAACAAUAAUUAUUUAAUUGAGAAACAAAAGUAAAAUUACGAAAUUUAUAUGAGGUAAAAUAAAGAUUUCAAAAUUUUAAGGACUUGAUCCUAAAAAUAUGCAAGUCCCACACGUUUUAUUCUCAUAUUCACCUGUAUUUAACAAGUAAGAAUCAUCAAUUAUUCUCAUUGUAGAUUUCAAUUUCCCAAUCUAGAAAAUAAAUGGACCAUUAAUGUUACUACUCGAAAAAAAAAUAAAAAACAUCGAAGGGUGGUGAUAUUGCACUCACAUCCCAACUUUUUAAAAUUUUUGUAAUUACUAUAUUACCCUUAAGUAAUUCAAUUAUAGUUGUGUUGGACUAGCCCGCUCGCAAAAUCUUGAUUGCUCGUUAUAAUUUGUACGCCACCGCGAACCUGGAUUACAUUUGGCAUGCUUUCUUUCUUUCUAUUGUAUUUUUAUUUAUUUAUUUUUUCAAACUCCCAUUGUCUUAAUAACAACGUGAUAAACAAAAACAUCGAUAACUAAUUAUAGUCUAUAGAACAAAGAUAAAUAUCUAUCGAUUAUUUGAAGUUUUACGUUUUAUUAAAAACGUAUAAAUAUCUUUUUUGUAAUUAUCCUCAUGAAAUUCACAAAGUGUAGCAUAGGCCUUUAGCAAAAUCACAAUUCAAUCCCGACAUUAUUUUCAGCGAGAUUCUUCCAGGUUUUACUGGGAAACAAGCUUUGAUCAAUGCUAGAAGAUAUGUUGAUUCGAUUUUUUUUUCUCCNNNNNNNNNNNNNNNNNNNNNNNNNNNNNNNNNNNNNNNNNNNNNNNNNNNNNNNNNNNNNNNNNNNNNNNNNNNNNNNNNNNNNNNNNNNNNNNNNNNNNNNNNNNNNNNNNNNNNNNNNNNNNNNNNNNNNNNNNNNNNNNNNNNNNNNNNNNNNNNNNNNNNNNNNNNNNNNNNNNNNNNNNNNNNNNNNNNNNNNNNNNNNNNNNNNNNNNNNNNNNNNNNNNNNNNNNNNNNNNNNNNNNNNNNNNNNNNNNNNNNNNNNNNNNNNNNNNNNNNNNNNNNNNNNNNNNNNNNNNNNNNNNNNNNNNNNNNNNNNNNNNNNNGAGUAGCUAAUAUCCCUGCUGUACGGCCAAGGCGAAUGUACGGUACAGCAGGAAUUUUGGGGGUUUUCAAAAUUGAAGUGUGAAUAUAAAAUGGAACCAAAGAAAACCAUGAACAAUGGAAGGGAAAGUGUCUGGUGAAGUAAAUUUGAUGAGAAGAAGUAAGAAAUUAUAUGGUGAGAUUUUUUAUUUUAUUUUAUUUUGAUUUUAUGCUGGUAACGAAUGAUUUGAUACAAAAUUUGUGUAUUUUUUAAACCAUACAAAUUUAAUUAAAGAAGGAGUGGAGGGAUUUUUUAUUUUUUUUAACUUUUAUUAUUUUAUUGUACAAAGUCACAAAUGUCCGAGGGUCGAGAAAAGUGGAGCACUGAUAUACUUUGUAAAAUUCAGAUGGAUAAAUAAUUGUAAAAGUAAAAAAAAGAAUAUUUAUGUAUUUUUAAUAAAGUGUGGAACAUUAAAUGAUUGGUGAAUAUUUGUCAUAAAAAUAAAUGAGAAACCAGGUGCAAAAGAACUAUUUUUUUCAUGAUGAAUUGAUAAUAGCAGUUGGUUGCUCCCAUUUUUAGUUUUCUUUGGAUACUUAACGUCCAUUUAUAACAUGGAAAGAUACUUGCGGGGACCAAAUAUAAUGAAGAAGAUUGAUAAUAUUGAUAAUAAGCAGGGUUUAUUUACGAAAUAAUAUAAUUUUAACCAUUUUAUUGGGUGCAUUUUAUGGCUAAGAUGCUAUUAUACUAAAGAUGGGAUGGAAAUAUUACUACUCUUUGAUUGAAGCUAACAUAAAAUUUGAAUAUGUGAAUUUAGAAUUUGCCUACUCCUUAUCUUUAAAAAAAAAUUUAAUAUUAUGAAAGAAAAUAUGAAUUAAAUUUAAUAUAUCACUAAUAAAAUUGAGAGCAUCUACAAUUUAAACUGUUUUAUUCUAUUUGAAUAGGAAAAUUUAACCUUAUUAAAGAGAAGUCAACGAGCUCAUUGUCUACCGAAGGACCACGAAUAUUUGUUUGGACAUAUAAAAGUUAGAUACACGCAUGACGUGUUUAAUGAUAUUAAUAAGUGAUUGUGGCCAUAACAUAACAGGAGUGGCUGUCGCCACGAGACAGUUGUCCAUUAAUUAAUCUAACAUCGAAUAUAUAAGUACAAUUAAGAUAUUUUGAAGCUAAGCUUUCUGUAACUCUAUUGAUACGGAGCGGUUUUUCUACGACCGACGUUAUAGUCAGACCGCUUAAUUAUAGAUCACGUGAUACAACUAGCACUCCUUUUUAAAUUUAUUUGUUACUUUCUGUAAUCUCGCACGCUCAGACACACAGACACACACCUAAUAUUCCAUUCCCUCCCGACAAAAAUCUAAACGUUGUGCGGACCUGUCUAUGGUACAGAUUCUGUAACAAACAUCUCCCGUCAUCCCACCAUCCGAUUUUCUAUUGUUCAGUUUCUCACUCCACAUCCAACGGCUGAUGCUGCAGUCUGUAGCUUACAGAAUCUGUAAGCUAGUCAAGUCCACGUUGUGCUUGUUGUUGGCGGCCUUGCGACUCUCAUAGAUCUACAUAUUUUUGGACCUGUCUAUGGUACAGAUUCUGUAACAAACAUCUCCCGUCAUCCCACCAUCCGAUUUUCUAUUGUUCAGUUUCUCACUCCACAUCCAACGGCUGAUGCUGCAGUCUGUACCUUACAGAUUCUGUAAGCUAGUCGAGUCCCAUAUUUUUUCGAUACUUGCGAUAUAAAGACAUACAUGAGAUUACAUUUUUUAUUUUUUUAUAACACGUCGCUGUCAGACAUGAUUAAAGGAUUAAUUUGGUAAGAAAUUUUGGUUGAUUUUAACUCAUUCCUACUUUAGAUCGUAGAAGAAUACGUUCUGUCUCUGGGAAUUUAAUUACCGGAUGAGAUGAGACUGUCGUUUUCAAUAAUUAUUACCGCACAAAAAAAAGAAAAAGAAAAUACCAUCAGUUCUUUCAAUUCUAAUUAAAAUAACAUAUCAGAAGAUUAAUCAGACAAGAUAAUGAGAGUUGUUACAUUUGACGUGUUUGUGUAUACGCUCUUCUCCUGUCUUACGCAAAUUAAGCAGUCGUGACUGAAGACUACUCAAAACAACGCGAGCCAUAAUGAUUCUUGAUGUAAUCAAGUCGGAUUAUUUAUUCAACUCAGUACUAAUCGAGUGUUUGAUUCUUAAACACUACACAUCUGUAUAACAAUAUAAUAAAGCAAGCAUAUGUCUUUCUCAUACUUGAUUAUUAAAGUUCCUCUGCAAAGCUCCAUUAUUGCUCAGUCACACAUUCCAGGAUCACAAAUGACAUGUGGCUGUAAUUGGUGGUGGGGUGACUAGGGGGACUAGCACGUGAUUUAGACCCUACCUCAUGAAACCUAAUAGCCCACUUCCCACAACGUCCUCAACUGAUGGAUAGAUUCUCUUUUGAAAUUGGUUAUUGGACUGUGAUGAGGUAUUCGCGCUUUUAGUAAUUAGGACAGGCACAAAAGAACAAUGGAGAUAUGUGAUAAAGGUGAGGAGCACUUUUAAAAUAACUGCUUCCCAAGUCUUUUAUAUGAGAAGAAAUCCAAAGCUAAUGUUAAAAUGUGAUGAGGAUUGCAUCUGGGGAGUGGGGAUCACAUAAGAGGAUAUUCAUCUUUAUGUUUCAAGUUGGCAUUCGCAGAUCCGUCUGCUAGGCACAAGCUACCAUUAAAAUUUAAAACUUAAAAAAGUGCAUGCAUGAGCAAUGCACCUUUGGCCUUAGGAGAGUCCUUACUUACACUCAUAAUGUAAUUUCUGAAAUAUCUAUAAUAGUCCUGUAUAUCAGUAUUUUUUUAGAAAAAAAAAAAAAAAAAAAGUGCAUGCAUUUAUGCCGUGCGCUGUGUGUACAAAGCAUGACAUGCAAUGAUGGAAAGAAAAAGUAAAACAAGUUUUUGCACUGCUUUCCUUUUUAUGUUUCUUCUCUGCACGUUGCCUAAGUUUAGCUCCUUGACAAAACUACAAGAAGCUGACAAACACCCAAUUUUCCAUCUGAAGCAAAUUUUGCCUAACUGAAAAUACCUGAAACAUGAUGACAAGUAACUGCCACGAAAGCAUAUGCUCCAUAGUGCUACAUGAAGGAUUUCCAGAACAUGUAUCGAAAUCAUAACAAGGCUAAAUUCACCUGGCAUUAUGUUUAUAGACACUUGUGGGGUGGGAUGUGUAAACCAGCAGCAAUGGGGUUAGAUGCAGGAUUAGAUUUGGAAAGCAAAGCUACCGAGAUGGAUGAAGAGAGAAGGCUAUUAAUGAGAAUAACUGGAAAAUCUUUUUCCAUUGCGAUAUGAAUUUAUUGAUACAUCUUGAAUAUGAGAGUGCCCUUUACAGAGCUUUUCUUUGCUACUUCCACUAGCAUUUUUUUGCCUAACUUCCAAGGGAAAAAAGAUCCCAGUAGAAGUAGCAAAAAGAAGCAUGGGAAAGGUACACUCCUAUAUUUAAAGAAAUAACUACAGAAAAGAAAAGAAAGGGGGGGAAAAUGAAAUAAAAAAAUUGUUGUACAGAGUCAAAAAACAACAGGCUUACUGCUUAUGUAGCCUCUCCCUGUGACGCAUCUUUCGAGAAUUUACAGCUUUGGAAAGAUACAAAAUUUUGGAAACUAUAUAUCCUUCUUCGAUGGGGCAUUGCCACUGUCAGAGUAGCAAAAUUCAUCACAAAAUCUUGAGUCAGCCAUCCAGCAAAUCAGACUUGAUUAGAAUUGUCGAGGAGCACCAAUUUUAACACUUCAGACACAAGAACAUUGGAUAUUUACAUGUACAAUGAGAUGGAUCAUGCAGUACCAAGUCGUUUCCAUUUUGCCCGAUAGAUUUCUGCUUUCUCGGGGGCAAUGAUCUCAAGAGCACCAAUAACACACUUGUGAUAUGAGAAGUCCUCAAUUGAGCCAUCUUCUCUUACCAACGAAAAGCAACGUGAAUUCUGAUGUUCAGGGUGAUAGGUAACCUGAAAAAGAUGGGGGAAGAAAGUAUCAUGAUAUCUCCUGCCACUAUACGUACAAUAAUGCUAAACUACCAAAAGUAGUUUUUUUUUUAAAUGAUGCGAAAGAACAUGGCAUCAGACUUGUAUAAAAUGUAAAUGAUCAAUUUGUUGAGGUACUAAAAUUAGCCAUCCAACUGACAAGUCAGUUUGCGCCAAAUCCCCUUUCUAUCCUAUCCUACAAAACUGAGGAUCUAAGAGAAAUUCAUCAAUUAAAAUAGGAUUCCUUUGCACAUAUUAUAAAUAUUUUAACUCUAUUUUUAUUAGAUUUCUCCUUUAUGUUAAUUCCAUGUUAAUGAAAAGAUUGCGCCCCCCCACAACCCCCCCCCCNNNNNNNNNNNNNNNNNNNNNNNNNNNNNNNNNNNNNNNNNNNNNNNNNNNNNNNNNNNNNNNNNNNNNNNNNNNNNNNNNNNNNNNNNNNNNNNNNNNNNNNNNNNNNNNNNNNNNNNNNNNNNNNNNNNNNNNNNNNNNNNNNNNNNNNNNNNNNNNNNNNNNNNNNNNNNNNNNNNNNNNNNNNNNNNNNNNNNNNNNNNNNNNNNNNNNNNNNNNNNNNNNNNNNNNNNNNNNNNNNNNNNNNNNNNNNNNNNNNNNNNNNNNNNNNNNNNNNNNNNNNNNNNNNNNNNNNNNNNNNNNNNNNNNNNNNNNNNNNNNNNNNNNNNNNNNNNNNNNNNNNNNNNNNNNNNNNNNNNNNNNNNNNNNNNNNNNNNNNNNNNNNNNNNNNNNNNNNNNNNNNNNNNNNNNNNNNNNNNNNNNNNNNNNNNNNNNNNNNNNNNNNNNNNNNNNNNNNNNNNNNNNNNNNNNNNNNNNNNNNNNNNNNNNNNNNNNNNNNNNNNNNNNNNNNNNNNNNNNNNNNNNNNNNNNNNNNNNNNNNNNNNNNNNNNNNNNNNNNNNNNNNNNNNNNNNNNNNNNNNNNNNNNNNNNNNNNNNNNNNNNNNNNNNNNNNNNNNNNNNNNNNNNNNNNNNNNNNNNNNNNNNNNNNNNNNNNNNNNNNNNNNNNNNNNNNNNNNNNNNNNNNNNNNNNNNNNNNNNNNNNNNNNNNNNNNNNNNNNNNNNNNNNNNNNNNNNNNNNNNNNNNNNNNNNNNNNNNNNNNNNNNNNNNNNNNNNNNNNNNNNNNNNNNNNNNNNNNNNNNNNNNNNNNNNNNNNNNNNNNNNNNNNNNNNNNNNNNNNNNNNNNNNNNNNNNNNNNNNNNNNNNNNNNNNNNNNNNNNNNNNNNNNNNNNNNNNNNNNNNNNNNNNNNNNNNNNNNNNNNNNNNNNNNNNNNNNNNNNNNNNNNNNNNNNNNNNNNNNNNNNNNNNNNNNNNNNNNNNNNNNNNNNNNNNNNNNNNNNNNNNNCCCCCAAAAAAAAAAAAACCUUGACAUGUCAAAACACACACUAACCUCCCAAAGAUCCAUGUAACUUAUUGCUUCAUUUUAUCUGAAUGUGUAAGUGUUGGUUAAAACUGUAAUAUGCGGAAAAGAAUGGAAAAGAAUACUGGAAAAGUGCCAUAAAAAUUUAAGUCCUGAUAAGACUUUUUAUAUCGCCAAUCUACUACCAACAACUAUUUUCCUAUAAUUGAGUCAACAAAAUACAGGUUAACAGAAUAGGUCAAGUCAACCAAUCAGAACCAAUAGAGAUCUAAAAAAACUCUUUUAACCACAUACCUCUAUAUCUGGAGGCUCAAUUCCAAGCUUUUCAUUGCGUCGAGGAUGAAAAUAUAAAGCCCUUAUCACAGUUGUUUUGUCCUUUUCACUUAACCUCUGACCAAUUGAAUAUCUACAACAAAAGUAGCCACAGAAUUUUUUAGGAGAAAGAGAAAAGGCAAAAGAAACCUUUGCUCUCAUUUUUUUACCCAAAAAGGAAAAAAUCUUGUGAAUUCGAAGAACUAACGCAUCACACAAAGGGAUCAUGGAAUUAAACAAUAUGGUCAGUUAGAAAACCCCCAAAUAUGAAUACAUUUCUUAAAUCUGCAUUUUGAUAUGAAAUAUAAGCAUGUGGGUUACUCAAACAUUUCCUCAUUACCGUGCUCUACUUUGUUCACAGAAGAAAGGAUACUCUUAAUACGAGGGGGGGNNNNNNNNNNNNNNNNNNNNNNNNNNNNNNNNNNNNNNNNNNNNNNNNNNNNNNNNNNNNNNNNNNNNNNNNNNNNNNNNNNNNNNNNNNNNNNNNNNNNNNNNNNNNNNNNNNNNNNNNNNNNNNNNNNNNNNNNNNNNNNNNNNNNNNNNNNNNNNNNNNNNNNNNNNNNNNCCGGUAUUCUCGCAAAGUGCAUGUCAAAUCGGGGGGAAGCGGGGCACUGACUUUAAAUUCCACAAAGCAGAGCACACAGCUGGGAAGCCGCCAUGCCUUGAAUCACUUGAUAAAAAUCAUGUAGGAGAUAGAGAACACCAUUCUACCAAAAGUUAAUUUAAGUAACAUGUGCGAAGCUGUGCAAUUCAAGAUGCUCCAAUACAAGGCAUCAUUCCAAGGUGAAACUCCGAUAUGAUCAUUCACAAUUUCAGUAAGAUGUUACAGUUAAUUUACAAAAAUACAAAGGGAAUAACAAAAUCAUAUAUAAUCAAGUGUGAUAUGAAACUGUGUUAAUUAAACAUAAAUAAAUACCCCACUAAAGCCAUAGACAGAACAAGGAGGAAAUCAUUGGAGAAUGCUUACUUGUGUAAUAUUUUCUUUAAGGCAUUACUGAGCCGUAGGACAUCGUUAUAUGUCCAAGAUUUUCUCAAAACCCCUCUAGAUAUGGUCUCGAAAUCCAGGUUUCCCAGCCCUUUAAACGCAAAAUCACCAAACUUAGCACCGCAUUUGUCAGAUAUAAGGCCCUGAGCUUUGCAUACUUUAAGUUUUUCAUUCUGCUUAGAACUGACUGGGGUGCUCAGGAGGUUAUAUACAUCCACUGGCUUGGAAAGUGUGCGUCCCUGAUGAAUAAUUAUGGAACAGGAAAUUAGAACUUUUAAAUACAAUUUAUAGCCAAGUAAUAAAGUCAAAUGCUGCUCCCUCACAACUAAAAAAAGAAAAUAAACAGAUAAAUAAAUAGAUAAAAAUAUAAUCUGAAGAAGAAAGAGAAUAAAUGCAUGACAAAAAAAGUUGACCCAAAGCAUUAAUAAAAGAAAAAAAAACAAUUAAAUUUCGACAUUAAAUGGUAAAAAUUUGCACACUACUAAUACUGGUAAGAAAAAAUCAAAAUUUACCUCCCCAGAAUAUAUAAUAUCAAAGUGUCCGCCGGUGCCUACAGAAGGGACCUUUCCCCAUCCUAGUGCAUCUACACUCCCCUGAAGAUUAUCCACAGCUCCUGCCUUUGCAGCUUUAAUAAAGGAAGCACCAGGAUUCUGCAACAACAUCCGAAACUUGAGUAUGAACUACAGGCUCAACAAAAGCUUCUUUAAUAUCAAACCUCAAAGUUCUUCAAAGUAGGAAACAAGGCAGAGGAACUAACAGAAAAGAAUGCUUGCACAAAAGGUGACGAUACAGAAGAAUGUUUUCGUUGUAGAGCCAAGCCUUUUGCAUUUAAGCCAACAAACUCUCCUGUAGCUGACAGAGUAUUAGCAACAAUAAGCAAAUGUUCAGGAAGUAUGUUCUUGCCAGUGUCAGAUAUAGCGGACUCCAAAUUCUGCAUUUAUAAUUCCGUAUUAGCAGUUAAGUAUAAAUUUAUCACACAUGAACAAAAACCACAAAAGAAAAAAAAAAGGAAAAAGGAAAAUCACAGUCAAGAGAAACAUACAGUGAGAAAAAAUUGUAACCCAGCGUCAAUCCCAUAGGCCAAACAGAAACUGCGAAUAUUAUCUGGAUGACUGCGUGUCCAGUCAAUCAUAUCCAUUAUCUGGUGGCAGUCAUUCAUAAGUGCACUCCACAAACUUGUUAUAUGACAUUGCCCAGACAUAGAAACCCUCAGAUAGAGCUCACCGAAUGAAUCGUCAUGGGAUUUUGAUGCUUUUUGUUUAUCCUUCCAUAAAAUAUCCACCUUCUUAAUCUCCCGGAAUCCUAAUAAACAUGAAAAAAAAAAAAAACAAAGAAAAGAAGACUAAAUAUCCACAAGGUUAACAUAACAUAUAUGGAGUACCUAAAUGCAUUCUGGAUUUUCAAAACUUUUAGUUUUGAUAGUCCAUUUUGCAGAGAAAAAAAGAGCAGAACAUUUAUCAGGUUUCAAGAAUUAUCUGCAAGUUAAAAGAUUAAAAAAAUAGCGGAACUACAUGGGUUCGUAAUCACUAUUCAGAUAUAAGAAACUGCAUGUUUGCAAAACCACAUAACAAAACUAGCUCAGUAUACUCUUUUCAUGUUUGGUUUUGAAGCAUUUAAUCAUGUUUCUUCCCAUCUUUGACAUUCAGAAUUGUCAGAUUUCUAAUUUUCCAUUCCAGACAUGCUUGGAACAGAUUCAGUUCGUCCAAUUCAACAAGAUUUAAGAAUACAUUUAAGCAAAUCCAAGUCUUGAAUCAAAGCAAUAUCUACAAAGGCACAGACAAGACCGACAUUUGAAACUACAAAUGAGAAUCAGCAAACUAGAAUCAAAUAUC